CCUACGGGUGGCUGCAGUGGGGAAUAUUGCACAAUGGGCGCAAGCCUGAUGCAGCCAUGCCGCGUGUGUGAAGAAGGCCUUCGGGUUGUAAAGCACUUUCAGCGGGGAGGAAGGCGGUGAGGUUAAUAACCUCAUCGAUUGACGUUACCCGCAGAAGAAGCACCGGCUAACUCCGUGCCAGCAGCCGCGGUAAUACGGAGGGUGCAAGCGUUAAUCGGAAUUACUGGGCGUAAAGCGCACGCAGGCGGUCUGUCAAGUCGGAUGUGAGAUCCCCGGGCUCAACCUGGGAACUGCAUUCGAAACUGGCAGGCUAGAGUCUUGUAGAGGGGGGUAGAAUUCCAGGUGCAGCGGUGAAAUGCGUAGAGAUCUGGAGGAAUACCGGUGGCGAAGGCGGCCCCCUGGACAAAGACUGACGCUCAGGUGCGAAAGCGUGGGGAGCAAACAGGAUUAGAUACCCGUGUAGUC
RNAcentral lists this ribosomal RNA (465 nucleotides) under uncultured Klebsiella sp. RNAcentral's name for it is "bacterial SSU rRNA". It matches the Rfam family "Bacterial small subunit ribosomal RNA", at positions 338 to 795 of the family's 1533-position model. Lineage: Bacteria; Pseudomonadati; Pseudomonadota; Gammaproteobacteria; Enterobacterales; Enterobacteriaceae. The record is from RNAcentral.